RNAcentral lists this ribosomal RNA (427 nucleotides) under uncultured bacterium. RNAcentral describes it as "partial 16S ribosomal RNA". It matches the Rfam family "Bacterial small subunit ribosomal RNA", at positions 355 to 774 of the family's 1533-position model. The record is from RNAcentral.
UGGGGAAUAUUGCACAAUGGGCGCAAGCCUGAUGCAGCCAUGCCGCGUGUAUGAAGAAGGCCUUCGGGUUGUAAAGUACUUUCAGCGGGGAGGAAGGUGUUGUGGUUAAUAACCACAGCAAUUGACGUUACCCGCAGAAGAAGCACCGGCUAACUCCGUGCCAGCAGCCGCGGAAAUACGGAGGGGGCAAGCGUUAAUCGGAAUUACUGGGCGUAAAGCGCACGCAGGCGGUCUGUCAAGUCGGAUGUGAAAUCCCCGGGCUCAACCUGGGAACUGCAUCCGAAACUGGCAGGCUUGAGUCUUGUAGAGGGGGGUAGAAUUCAAGGUGUAGCGGUGAAAUGCGUAGAGAUCUGGAGGAAUACCGGUGGCGAAGGCGGCCCCCUGGACAAAGACUGACGCUCAGGUGCGAAAGCGUGGGGAGCAAACA